AGUGAACGCUGGCGGUAGGCCUAACACAUGCAAGUCGAACGGCAGCACAGUAAGAGCUUGCUCUUACGGGUGGCGGGUGGCGGACGGGUGAGGAAUACAUCGGAAUCUACUUUUUCGUGGGGGAUAACGUAGGGAAACUUACGCUAAUACCGCAUACGACCUACGGGUGAAAGCAGGGGAUCUUCGGACCUUGCGCGAUUGAAUGAGCCGAUGUCGGAUUAGCUAGUUGGCGGGGUAAAGGCCCACCAAGGCGACGAUCCGUAGCUGGUCUGAGAGGAUGAUCAGCCACACGUGAAAUGAGACACGGGCCAGACGUCGAAGGGAGGCAGCAGUGGGGAAUAUUGGACAAGGGGCGCAAGCCUGAUCCAGCCAUACCGCGUGGGUGAAGAAGGCCUUCGGGGUGUAAAGCCCUUUUGUUGGGAAAGAAAAGCAGCAGGUUAAUACCCCGCUGUUCUGACGGUACCCAAAGAAUAAGCACCGGCUAACUUCGU
Molecule: ribosomal RNA, 491 nt
Filed under: uncultured bacterium
Lineage: Bacteria
Description: partial 16S ribosomal RNA
Rfam family: Bacterial small subunit ribosomal RNA
Source: RNAcentral